RNAcentral lists this ribosomal RNA (589 nucleotides) under uncultured Alphaproteobacteria bacterium. RNAcentral's name for it is "bacterial SSU rRNA". It matches the Rfam family "Bacterial small subunit ribosomal RNA", at positions 369 to 978 of the family's 1533-position model. The record is from RNAcentral. Lineage: Bacteria; Pseudomonadati; Pseudomonadota; Alphaproteobacteria.
CAAUGGAGGAAACUCUGAUGCCGCGAUGCCGCGUGAGUGAAGAAGGCCUUUGGGUUGUAAAGCUCUUUCGUCGGGGAAGAAAAUGACUGUACCCGAAUAAGAAGGUCCGGCUAACUUCGUGCCAGCAGCCGCGGUAAUACGAAGGGACCUAGCGUAGUUCGGAAUUACUGGGCUUAAAGAGUUCGUAGGUGGUUGAAAAAGUUGGUGGUGAAAUCCCAGAGCUUAACUCUGGAACUGCCAUCAAAACUUUUCAGCUAGAGUAUGAUAGAGGAAAGCAGAAUUUCUAGUGUAGAGGUGAAAUUCGUAGAUAUUAGAAAGAAUACCAAUUGCGAAGGCAGCUUUCUGGAUCAUUACUGACACUGAGGAACGAAAGCAUGGGUAGCGAAGAGGAUUAGAUACCCUCGUAGUCCAUGCCGUAAACGAUGUGUGUUAGACGUUGGAAAUUUAUUUUCAGUGUCGCAGCGAAAGCGAUAAACACACCGCCUGGGGAGUACGACCGCAAGGUUAAAACUCAAAUGAAUUGACGGGGACCCGCACAAGUAGUGGAGCAUGUGGUUUAAUUCGAAGAUACGCGCAGAACCUUACCAAC